Molecule: transfer RNA, 77 nt
Filed under: Paracoccaceae bacterium
Lineage: Bacteria; Pseudomonadati; Pseudomonadota; Alphaproteobacteria; Rhodobacterales; Paracoccaceae
Also listed under: 1 other name
Description: Rhodobacteraceae bacterium tRNA-Arg
Rfam family: tRNA
About the family: Transfer RNA (tRNA) molecules are approximately 80 nucleotides in length. Their secondary structure includes four short double-helical elements and three loops (D, anti-codon, and T loops). Further hydrogen bonds mediate the characteristic L-shaped molecular structure. tRNAs have two regions of fundamental functional importance: the anti-codon, which is responsible for specific mRNA codon recognition, and the 3' end, to which the tRNAs corresponding amino acid is attached (by aminoacyl-tRNA synthetases). tRNAs cope with the degeneracy of the genetic code in two manners: having more than one tRNA (with a specific anti-codon) for a particular amino acid; and 'wobble' base-pairing, i.e. permitting non-standard base-pairing at the 3rd anti-codon position.
Source: RNAcentral
GCACCCGUAGCUCAGCUGGAUAGAGCGCUGCCCUCCGAAGGCAGAGGUCACGCGUUCGAAUCGCGUCGGGUGCACCA